AAAAUUAAUGUAAAUUGCACAAUAAACUUAGUUGUUUUAUUUAUGAAUUUAUUCUUUUGCUUUUCAUCGUUUCUUCUGAGGUUAAUACGAAGUUUUUCUUUGUCUUUGAGUUUGGUAUUGACAUAAACUUUUAUGUUGAAAUAGCCAUCAAAAAUUAAUCUUUUUUGUGAAUACACGAUAAGGCACAAAAUUGCAUACCAAUUGAAGCUUUUCUGCUACUAUCUCACACUUGAUAUUUCUCUUUCAAAACCAUAGACGUUUUAAAAAAAUUCUUUAUGUUAAAUUAUAUAGGUUAGAAAAGAAUAAAGCUCCUCGAGGAGUAGAAAACUGUAGAAUAUUCAAAGAAGUUGUGUAGCAACCUUUCUAAAUGGAUAGUCAGUAGUAAUUAUUGAUAUGGUUCAAGAUAUUUUUCCCGAUGGAUACACCUAUGGAUACUGAGAUAAGACUUGGCACUGAAUCAUGUGAUUUUUGGCCGUGCAUUUUUCAUAGAAGAAAACGAUUUUGAAGCUCUACAACAACGAAAACGAAAAUACUCUACCAUGCAUUAAGUGAGAGAACUAUCAAGAAACCAAUAGUGCUCUUCAAUUAAAAAAACUGAAGGGUUUAUAACACUAAAGAAUGGCAAUUUCUUCCUCAGAAGAACCGUCUUUUCUGGUCGUCAAUUCAUCAUCACUCUGACGAUCCUCAUCAAACUUGGACUUCUCAGGAACAAAUGUUUCUUUCUCUUCACUCAUUUUCUAUCUGACUGACGGAGUCAAAACACCACAGCUAACUGAAAAAAAACUUACUCGAGAAAAACCUCCCCAGAAUCGAACACCUGUGAUGUAAAUGAAUGAUAAGAAUCAUCAGCCAUGAAAGGAUGUACCCAAAUGCCUGCUGUAGCUAUUACGUUUGAACAAAGUUUCAAUUCAGAUUGUCUAGAAUUUUUGUUUGGUACGAACGACAUUACAAGUGGUAAUAAAUGAACGUCUGGGAGCAGCUUGCUUUUGACAAAAAGUUUUCCAAAUUAUGCUGGUUAAAAAACCUCAACUAUUUCCCAACUAUACAAAAGCCAUAAAAUGUGGUAGUUGUGGACAUUUUUUAUGCUAAGUCACAUGCUCCUCGCAUUAAAAGCGGAAAUUUCAUUUUACAACGACGAAUAGCUGCUGAUGAAUUGUUUUAAAUAAUUAAAUGCCCUAAGGAUAGCAACAAUCUAAUGGAUCUGGAUGCUAUAAAUGGGCAGCGAUGUGACAAAAGAGCAAGCUUGAAUGCUGUCUAGACAAGUAAUAUAAUCAUGCAGUUAGCCACUAUUGCAGCAGUGUUUUAAAUAGUUGCAGGCGAUAGCCGUCUGUCUAAGACUUAGAGGACCUUGUCGGCGAUUUGAGAUUUCAAAGCGAAGGAAAAUGGCGAAUAAAUGUAUUUUCCCAUGAUGUAAUUAACAGAAAUAUAUCUAGAUAUUAUUGUGA
This is a long non-coding RNA of Xenia sp. Carnegie-2017, 1445 nucleotides long. RefSeq lists it as uncharacterized. The record is from RefSeq and is a predicted model, not a curated record. The transcript is spliced from 5 exons. Lineage: Eukaryota; Metazoa; Cnidaria; Anthozoa; Malacalcyonacea; Xeniidae.